This 465-nucleotide ribosomal RNA is filed under the name uncultured bacterium. RNAcentral describes it as "partial 16S ribosomal RNA". It matches the Rfam family "Bacterial small subunit ribosomal RNA", at positions 338 to 795 of the family's 1533-position model. The record is from RNAcentral.
CCUACGGGUGGCAGCAGUGGGGAAUAUUGCGCAAUGGGCGAAAGCCUGACGCAGCGACGCCGCGUGAGGGAUGAAGGUCUUCGGAUCGUUAACCUCUGUCAGCAGGGAAGAACGGUCACUGUGCUAAUCAGCAGUGAAUUGACGGUACCUGCACAGGAAGCACCGGCUAACUCCGUGCCAGCAGCCGCGGUAAUACGGAGGGUGCGAGCGUUAAUCGGAAUUACUGGGCGUAAAGCGCUCGUAGGCGGUAUGUCAAGUCAAGGGUGAAAUCCCCGCGCUCAACGUGGGAACUGCCUUUGAAACUGGCAAACAGGAGUGGAUGAGAGGAAAGUGGAAUUCCAGGUGUAGGAGUGAAAUCCGUAGAUAUCUGGAGGAACAUCAGUGGCGAAGGCGACUAUCUGGCACAUAACUGACGCUGAGGAGCGAAAGCGUGGGUAGCAAACAGGAUUAGAUACCCCAGUAGUC